GUUUAUUUAGCAGCAGUUCUCUUAUGUGUUGCUGAUAGCCGGCUAGCUAGCUAGCGCCGCUAGCAUAGUUAGCUCGCGCCGCUAGCAACCCUUCGUGAAAAAGCACCCAGGCUUGGCUUAUAUUGAGGCGGGUGAAACUCGUGUCAGCACCCGGUCGCUCUCUAUUUGGGUCAGAUAUAAACCGAGUUUAGGUGUAGUUUAUUUAGCAGCAGUUCUCUUAUGUGUUGCUGAUAGCCGGCUAGCUAGCUAGCGCCGCUAGCAUAGUUAGCUCGCGCCGCUAGCAACCCUUCGUGAAAAAGCACCCAGGCUUGGCUUAUAUUGAGGCGGGUGAAACUCGUGUCAGCACCCGGUCGCUCUCUAUUUGGGUCAGAUAUAAACCGAGUUUAGGUGUAGUUUAUUUAGCAGCAGUUCUCUUAUGUGUUGCUGAUAGCCG
Molecule: long non-coding RNA, 433 nt
Organism: Oreochromis aureus
Lineage: Eukaryota; Metazoa; Chordata; Actinopteri; Cichliformes; Cichlidae
Source: Ensembl